RNAcentral lists this ribosomal RNA (322 nucleotides) under uncultured eukaryote. RNAcentral's name for it is "partial 18S ribosomal RNA". It matches the Rfam family "Eukaryotic small subunit ribosomal RNA", at positions 1470 to 1796 of the family's 1831-position model. The record is from RNAcentral.
CCCUUAGAUGUUCUGGGCCGCACGCGUGCUACACUGAGUGGAUCAGCGGGUCAGGUUGCGCGAAAGUGUUUCCUAAUCUUUAAAUCCGCUCGUGAUGGGGAUUGACGGUUGCAAUUUUCCGUCAUGAACGAGGAAUACCUUGUAAGCGCGGGUCAUCAUCCCGCGCUGAAUACGUCCCUGCCCUCUGUACACACCGCCCGUCGCUCCUACCGAUUGAGUGGUCCGGUGAGGCUUUGGGAUCUGAGCGGAAAGAGCGUUUCGCUGUUUCUGCCCGGAAAACUCAGUCGAACCUUAUCAUUUAGAGGAAGGAGAAGUCGUAACA